Molecule: ribosomal RNA, 253 nt
Filed under: uncultured bacterium
Lineage: Bacteria
Description: partial 16S ribosomal RNA
Rfam family: Bacterial small subunit ribosomal RNA
Source: RNAcentral
UACGAGGGGGGCGAGCGUUGUUCGGAAUUAUUGGGCGUAAAGGGUGCGUAGGCGGUUUGGUAAGUCUUAUGUGAAAUCUACAGGCUCAACUUGUAGUCUGCAUGAGAAGCUGCCGGGCUUGAGUAUGGGAGAGGUGAGUGGAAUUCCUGGUGUAGCGGUGAAAUGCGUAGAUAUCAGGAGGAACACCUGUGGCGAAAGCGGCUCACUGGACCAUAACUGACGCUGAGGCACGAAAGCGUGGGGAGCAAACAGG